RNAcentral lists this ribosomal RNA (1068 nucleotides) under Triticum aestivum (bread wheat). RNAcentral's name for it is "partial small subunit ribosomal RNA". Lineage: Eukaryota; Viridiplantae; Streptophyta; Magnoliopsida; Poales; Poaceae. The record is from RNAcentral.
AUGGCGGAGUUGGUGGUCACCAUGGCGAUCGAGCCAUUGGUGUCCAAGCUGUUGGACAAGGCAUCCAGCAACCUCCUGGACCAGUACAAUGUGAUGGAGGGAAUGGAGGAGCAGCAAAAGACUCUCAAACGCAAGCUUCCGGCCAUCCUUGACAUCAUCGCCGAUGCCGAGGAGCAGGCCACGGCACACAGAAAAGGUGCUAAAUCCUGGCUCCAGGAGCUCAAGACGGUGGCCUAUGAGGCGAAUGAAGUGUUCGAUGAAUUCAAGUACGAAGCAUUCCUCCGUGAAGCAAAGAAAAAGGGCCACUACAAAGAGCUUGGCUUCGAUGUGAUAAAACUCUCCCCUGCUCACAACCAUGUUGCAUCCCGUUACAAAAUGGGUCGCAAGCUUUGCCUGAUUCUACAAGCCAUUGAGGUCCUCAUAGCAGAGAUGCAUGUCUUUGGGUUCAAGUAUCAACCGCAGCCGCCGGUGUCCAAGGAGUGGAGGCAGACCGAUUAUGUUAUCACCGACCCGCAAGAAAUUGCCAGCAAAUCUAAAGACAAAGAUAAGGCGGAAAUUGUUGGUACACUACUUCGUCAAGCUAAUAAUGCAGAUCUCGCAGUGGUUGCCAUCGUUGGGAUGGGGGGCAUUGGUAAGACCACAUUAGCACAACUCAUAUAUAAUGAACCUGGAAUUCAGAAGCAUUUCCAGUUGUUGUUGUGGGUAUGUGUCUCUGAUACCUUUGGUGUGAACUCCCUGGCCAAGAGUAUAGUUGAAGCAUCUCCCAAGAAAAAUGAUGAUACAGACAAACCACCACUAGAGAGACUUCAGAAAUUGGUCAGCGGGCAGAGGUAUCUCCUUGUAUUGGAUGAUGUCUGGAAUAGAGAGGUCCAUAAGUGGGAAAGGCUGAAGGAUCAUCUUAAGCAUGGUGGCAUGGGUAGUGCGGUGCUAACGACAACUCGUGAUAAAGGAUUUGCUGACAUUAUGGGUGCAGAUACCCACCUUCUCAGUGGUUUGGAGGAUAGAUUCUUAAGGGAAAUUAUUGAGGCUGCAGCAUUCAGUUCCGAGAAAAAAAGCCUCCUGAGCUAG